Molecule: long non-coding RNA, 2760 nt
Organism: Rosa chinensis
Lineage: Eukaryota; Viridiplantae; Streptophyta; Magnoliopsida; Rosales; Rosaceae
Exons: 3
Source: RefSeq, a predicted model, not a curated record
AUGCCUCAAUAUUUGCUCUAGCCGUCUUUCAACUCAAGAGAAAAACCCCUAGCUUUUGUUCAUGCCAUCUUCUCACCAUCGUAUGAAAACACUUCUAACCAUCACAAAUCACCAUCUUCUCCCAAACCUCGAGCUUUGUAGUAUGGAUUAGCUUUUGUUGGGUUAGAUUAGGGUUCGAGUUGGGUUAGAUUUGGGGUUUUCGUUCUACUGAAAAGAGGGAUUGAGUUCUCAAUAAUCGAGUUGGGUUCUACUUGAUUGGGGUUCUAGUUGGGAUUGAGUUCUCAUUACAUUCUGCUGAGAAGGAGGUUUGAGUUAUCACCAAUCGAUUUGGGUUCGAGUUUCUGAAAUCCUUGUGAUUGGUGUGAAACCGCAGUGGAAAGUGAUAGAUUUCAAGUGGAUAAGGGAGAACAAGGAUGUUGUUGCUUGGGUAAAUGCUUUAUCAUUCUGCAUAUGGUUUACUAAGAUCCCAUUCUUCUGGUUUAUUAAGAUAUGGUCAUAGACUGAAUUGGAUAUGCUUUUGGUACUAUGAAUUGAGAUAUGCUUAUAAUUUUUGUUUGCUUUUUAUAGUAUUGCAGCCUAGUUUCUUCGGAUUUGGGUGAUGUCUGGUAUGAGUCUGGAAAUACAUCAUUUUCAUAUGGCUUGAUUAUUGGGAUUUUGAUUCAUUUGUAAAUUUGCAGUUUCUAGAAUUGAAAUACAUAUAAUAUUCUGCUUGUUUUAGAACUAUGUUGUGUUUAGAGCGAUCUUCUUUUUUCUACCUCACACCACUUGUUCAAUGUUAUGCCUCACAGAACCCUUCACUUUAAUUGGGUGGGAAAAACAAUAUUUUUUAGCUUUCUUAUUACUUGGGUGCUGGAAAUUAAUAUAUUGUAGAUGAGGAGUAGAAGGUUGUUGGUGUGCUUUAUAUGAGUUUUGAGUGUUGUACUUAUUCUGAUAUUUCUAAGUAACUGUUGGGAGUUUAAUAUAUGAAGGCUUAUGGCUAUUGGAUGAUGCAGUCCUUUACAUGUUCCUGUAAAAUAACUGAGCACAACUUACAACUAUAUUAGACUUGGUUUGUGCUUUGAUCGGUCAUGAAUUUAGGUUUCUUUUUUGUUGUCCUUUUGUUCUGCAUCUUAGUUUAUCUCUACAUCCAAAGAUACAUCAUAAGGUUAUAUAUAAAUUAUGAAACUGAUACUAUGCCAAAAACAAAGUAAUGAAGUGAUUAUCUAACUUUUCGUUCAGGUCAUUAGUGGGACUCAUAGGCAAUAGCCUUGGUACCGAUUUCAUUAAUCAAUGUAUCAAAUAUUGAUCUUAAGAAUAAAAUGUAUAUGUAUGAAAUUAAAACUACUGGAGAUCAGCAGGUUAUCUGCGUGAUUGAUUCACUCAUUUGAUGCUAGUAUUCUUUUAUUUUAUUAUUUCUCUUCUUAAAAGGAUUGGUGUUGCAAAUCGUAUUUAGGACUCAAGUCUUCCAUUGCAAUGUUGAUUCUUCUGGUAAUGUAAGUUUGGAAAUCGUAAAGGAUGGUUGGAGUCCAGCUCUAACGAUUACAAAGGUGCUACUAGCAAUUUAGUCCAUGUUCACAAAACCUGAUCCUUGUAAGUUCUUCUAUUAUACUUUGAGCUUUCUUUGUGGUAUUGUUUGUAUGCAUGUUCUUGUUCUUGGUCUUUGUAUAGCAAUAGUUUACUUGUAGGACUAAAUGUUAGUAUUUUGAAGGAACUCAUACUGGUGUUAAACAUCAUCAAAGAAGAAAGCGGCACUCAUUUUCCUUUUUGUUUCUUGACUUGAUCAUUGGUUUAAGAUAAAAUAUAUUCCCCAAUAUCAAACUCGUUUAGCACCAACUCCAAAUGAUAUGUUGCUCGUACUGAUAUUCAUCUUUGAGUAGAUAAUCCGCUUGUCCCUAGCAUCGCCCAUUUGUACUUGGCAGUUAAAGCUAAACACGAUGAACUGGCUUAUGAGGGUGAUUCGCCAAGUGAGUUUUAUAGAGUUUGCUCACAUAGUACAAGCAUCAUGGUCAUCAUAUGUAAUUUUUCUUGGAUUGCACUUUAAUAAAAUAAAGAUAGAGGUUAGUGGAAGUAGUAUGCUCUAGCCUAGUUAACAAAGUAAACCUUCAUGCUGUCAAAACUAAUAAAAUGUGUACUUUUUUUUAAAAAAAAAUUGGUGAUUAGUAAGAGAUAAUGGUCACUGGAAGAAAUAUUUACUAGAUUUUCUCAAUAUCUUUAUAGUUUUGUAAUGCUCUGAGCAUAGUAUGGUGUUCAAUGUUCCUUUUAAUAUAAUAUCUGGAGCAAACAAAUUGCAGUGCCAGCAAGUGCUUAAAGAGCUAGAAGCAUCGGUCAAUCUUGAUGGGUUUCUAUGUAGUCAUAAUUGCACUUACUUUUGGUUAGUAUAUAUUUGUUGGAUUUGAUCAUCUGCUACAAGCUUGGCCAAGUGGUUGAGACUUGCUGUGAAUAAAUGGGGAACAUCAUUGCUGGUAAUAAGGUGGAAGUAUGGGGCACGAGUUCUUGUUGUCGUGGACUAGAACUAUAUGGGGGAAUGUUGCAUAAAGAGUCUUUGGGAGAUCGAGCGUGGAGUACCAAGCAUUAAUCCAACAAGUUAUAUUUUGUUUCAUCAUGUAAAACUUAACCGGGAAACUUAAAUGCUUUUUAGUCUAUGAGAUGUAUGAAUGCUUUAGCAAUGUUCCUUAAAUUCAAUAUUUGAUGAAUUGAUGUAUCACAAUGACUUUGGUACAAAUGUUGAUCAUUUGAUAGUUUGCAUUCAAUUUGUAUUCCAAUUGUUCACUAUUAAUUUAU